UUAUACUCGUACCUUUUGCAUCAUGAUUUAGCUAGCAUCAUUAGGCAAAGAGAACUUUAGUCUAUACCCCCGAAACCAAGUGAGCUACUCCAAGACAGCCUAGUAUAUAGGGCAAACCCGUCUCUGUGGCAAAAGAGUGGGAAGAACUUUGAGUAGGGGUGACAGACCUAUCGAACCUGGUUAUAGCUGGUUGCCUGACAACUGGAUAGGAGUUCAGCCUUAAAGAUUCUUUUGAAACUUUAAGAGUUAAUCAAAGGGGGUACAGCCCCUUUGAUAAAAGACACAACUUUUACAGGAGGGUAAAGAUCAUAAUCCUCAAGGAACAACUGCUCUGGUGGGCCUGAAAGCAGCCAUCCCCUCAGAAAGCGUUAAAGCUCGAGCACUAUCCCGAUAACCCCAUCUUAUCCCCCUGAAUUUUAUCAGGCCGACCCAUGCCCCCAUGGGUGUGACCAUGCUAAUAUGAGUAAUAAGAGGGGCCCCUCUCCCCGCACACGUGUACAUCGGAACGAACCCCCACCGAAAAUUAAUCGGCCCCAAACAAAGAGGGCAGUUGGCGAAAACUAGAAAACCACCUACCGUUAACCCCACACCGGAGUGCAACUAGGGAAAGACUAAAAGAAAAAGAAGGAACUCGGCAAACAAGCCUCGCCUGUUUACCAAAAACAUCGCCUCUUGCACUAUAAGAG
Molecule: ribosomal RNA, 686 nt
Filed under: Polydactylus octonemus (Atlantic threadfin)
Lineage: Eukaryota; Metazoa; Chordata; Actinopteri; Polynemidae
Description: partial 16S ribosomal RNA
Rfam family: Bacterial large subunit ribosomal RNA
Source: RNAcentral